UUGGAGGGCAAGUCUGGUGCCAGCAGCCGCGGUAAUUCCAGCUCCAAUAGCGUAUAUUAAAGUUGUUGCAGUUAAAAAGCUCGUAGUUGAAUUUCGGGAUCAGUACGCUGGUCGUGCCUUGAUAUGCACUGGUGUCACUGAUCCCUCCCUUCUGAAGAACCGUUAUGCCAUUUAUUUGGUGUGAUGGGGAAUCGGGACUGUUACUUUGAAAAAAUUAGAGUGUUUAAAGCAGGCUCGCGCUUGAAUACAUUAGCAUGGAAUAAUGAAAUAGGACGUUUGAUCUUAUUUUGUUGGUUUCUAGGAUCGACGUAAUGAUUAAUAGGGAUAGUUGGGGGCAUUAGUAUUCAAUUGUCAGAGGUGAAAUUCUUGGAUUUAUUGAAGACUAACUACUGCGAAAGCAUUUGCCAAGGAUGUUUUCAUUAAUCAAGAACGAAAGUUAGGGGAUCGAAGACGAUCAGAUACCGUCGUAGUCUUAACCAUAAACUAUGCCGACUAGGGAUCGGAUGAUGUUAUUUUUAAUGACUCAUUCGGCGCCUUACGGGAAACCAAAGUGUUUGGGUUC
This 562-nucleotide ribosomal RNA is filed under the name uncultured Glomeromycotina. Its description in RNAcentral is "SSU rRNA". It matches the Rfam family "Eukaryotic small subunit ribosomal RNA", at positions 548 to 1114 of the family's 1831-position model. The record is from RNAcentral. Lineage: Eukaryota; Fungi; Glomeromycota.